UGCAGAUGAUGUGACUGAAUAUUUGCUAUCCGAGUCGCGGUGACGACCUCACACCACCAAGAUCGCUGAUGCG
Ochotona princeps (American pika) is the source of this 73-nucleotide small nucleolar RNA. RefSeq annotates it as small nucleolar RNA SNORD24. The transcript has a single exon. NCBI's taxonomy places the organism in Eukaryota, Metazoa, Chordata, Mammalia, Lagomorpha, Ochotonidae. The record is from RefSeq and is a predicted model, not a curated record.